GACGUUUCUCCUCACCCUCCCCACCAGGUUGCAGGAAACACACACGCAAUCGUUUUACACACAGGACGGACGGUCAAGUGCGUGUGGUCCUCGUCAUCACCCAUAAGACCGUCUGCUGGCAUCAGGCAAGCAGGAUCACAACACCUCACUUUUCCAGUGAAAUAAUCCAUUCAUCAAGGAGAAAUUGAAUCGGAAAGGUAACACGUGUGGCAUGCAUCAAGUGAGUUCUCUGGUUAGGGUCUCACAAGGCUGAAAUCAAGGUGUCAGUGGGCCUGGGACCUUACCUGGAGGCUCCGGGGAAAAAGCAGCUGCCAAGCUCAUUCAUCCAGGAAUUGGCUCCCAUGUUUGUGGAGGCUGACAAGACCCAAGACCUGCACGUGGCAAGGUGGAGACCCAGGAGAGCUGAUGGUGUAGUUCCAGUCCGAGUCCAAAGGCCUGAGAACCAGGAGAGCCAGUGGUGUAAGUUCCAGUCCCGAAGUUGCUGGCAUCGUCUCAAGAAGAUGCGCUUUUUCAGUUCAAGUCCGCAGGCAGGGAAAGACCAGUGUCCCCCCUCAAGCAGUCAGGCUUGAGUCCCUCCUGCUUGAGGGAAGGUCAGCUUUUUUUGUCCUAUUCAGGCUUUCGAGUGAUUGCCAUGGGACACUCCCACUAGAGGGCCACCUGCUUUACUCAGUCUACCUAUCCAAAUGGUGAUCUCAUCUAAAACUCCCUCACAGACACACUCACAAUAAUGGUCGACCUAAUAUCUGGGCAUCCUCCGUGGGCCAGUCACGUCGACACAUAAUAUCACACAUCACUCCAGGCACCUUGACACAGUCCAUAAUUUAACAUUUAUUUAAAAAUUCCUAUUCUAUCUCAGUUAACUGUUCGGUUUCCCAGCUUCGUCGCCUAUAAGACGGAGUUGUGAAUAAUUUCACUUUGUUCGUUGCAUUUAAACUAAUUACCUUUAAGGUUAUAUGUGUGAAAGGGAAAAACGGAUCAGGAAGCAGCUUACAUUCUUUACCGUAUAGGAGAAUUCUGCAUCAUGUGGCAUGCAGAUUUAAUAAUACCUAAUAUUUAUGAAAUAUUUGCCAUAUUUAGCAAGUCCUUUUGUAAGCUCUUUAAAUGCUUUACCUCAUUUGUUCAGCAAAACACCAUGAGAUACAUGCCAUUGUUAGUCCCCUUUCCGUAUGAAGAAACUGAAGCACAGAAGUUAAGUAAUUUGUCCAAGAUGACAGCUGGUAAGUGGCAGGCCCAGGAUUGGAAUCUAUGGCUUCAGAACCAAUGUCCCUAACUAAUUAGUGUGACCAUAUAAUUUGUCAUCCACACCAGCAUGAGAGCACUAUUAAAAAUUAUACCUCAGUGGGCAUAAAACAGGAAAGACUUACACGUAUGAAGACACUGCUCACUCUGUUAGUGAACAUUCUUUGGGUUGCAAGUAGCAGAAAAUUCUUUCCUAGAUUGGCUCAAUUCAAAAGGAAGUUCAUGAUCUCAGAGUAUUUGCAACAUCAGCAUCACUUUUCCUCCCUCUGCUCGAUUAUUCCUGUCAGCAUACAAACUGGUGUUGUUAUUUUUAUUAUUAUUAUUAUUAAAAAACAAAC
Molecule: long non-coding RNA, 1577 nt
Organism: Aethalodelphis obliquidens (Pacific white-sided dolphin)
Lineage: Eukaryota; Metazoa; Chordata; Mammalia; Artiodactyla; Delphinidae
Exons: 4
Source: RefSeq, a predicted model, not a curated record